UACGGAGGGUGCAAGCGUUAUCCGGAUUUACUGGGUUUAAAGGGUGCGCAGGCGGAUAUGUAAGUCAGUGGUGAAAUCUCUAGGCUUAACCUGGAAAUUGCCGUUGAUACUAUAUAUCUUGAAUGCUGUGGAGGUAAGCGGAAUAUGUCAUGUAGCGGUGAAAAUGCUUAGAUAUGACAUAGAACACCUAUUGCGAAGGCAGCUUACUACGCAGAUAUUGACGCUCAUGCACGAAAGCGUGGGGAUCAAACAGG
This 254-nucleotide ribosomal RNA is filed under the name uncultured bacterium. Its description in RNAcentral is "partial 16S ribosomal RNA". It matches the Rfam family "Bacterial small subunit ribosomal RNA", at positions 524 to 776 of the family's 1533-position model. The record is from RNAcentral.